UUCUGGAUAGCUCAGUCAGUAGAGCAUGAGAUUCUUAAUCUCAGGGUCGUGGGUUCAAGCCCCACAUUGGGAA
Molecule: non-coding RNA, 73 nt
Organism: Podarcis lilfordi (Lilford's wall lizard)
Lineage: Eukaryota; Metazoa; Chordata; Lepidosauria; Squamata; Lacertidae
Source: the annotation of a GenBank genome assembly